UUGAACUUGAUAAAUAAAGUCGACCUUCUUGUCUAGAAGUUAGAUCAAUUUCUAACCCUAGGUCAAUAAUCUCCUGCAUAAUACACAUCACCUUCCAAUUAUCAAGAGAUUUAUUCUAUCUGUGCUAGUCCAAUCUAUCAUAUAAGUGAAUGUCCUACAGCUGCAUAGUUUUCAUUUUUCAUCUAAGAAUAAGUUCAAGCUACCCA
This 206-nucleotide long non-coding RNA is filed under the name Elaeis guineensis (African oil palm). RNAcentral describes it as "long non-coding RNA (EGUI_LNC009659)". Lineage: Eukaryota; Viridiplantae; Streptophyta; Magnoliopsida; Arecales; Arecaceae. The record is from RNAcentral.